RNAcentral lists this microRNA precursor (175 nucleotides) under Triticum aestivum (bread wheat). Its description in RNAcentral is "MIR2118 microRNA precursor family". It matches the Rfam family "MIR2118 microRNA precursor family". RNAcentral also lists the same sequence under 1 other name. The record is from Rfam by way of RNAcentral. Lineage: Eukaryota; Viridiplantae; Streptophyta; Magnoliopsida; Poales; Poaceae.
GCUGGGAAGAGGAAGAAAGAGAAAACUCAAGAACACUGGGCAUGGGAACAUGUAAGAAACCCCUGCUUGUUUGUUUGCACCUCUACUGUUUGAGGUUCAAAUAUUUUCCAUGGAUCCUUUCCCGAUGUCUCCCAUUCCUACCGUUCUCGUGCACCCCUUCCUCUUCCUUUUGGCU